Long non-coding RNA from Cavia porcellus (domestic guinea pig), 5645 nucleotides. RefSeq lists it as uncharacterized. The record is from RefSeq and is a predicted model, not a curated record. The transcript has 3 exons. NCBI's taxonomy places the organism in Eukaryota, Metazoa, Chordata, Mammalia, Rodentia, Caviidae.
UUUUAGACAAUGGAUAUUAUUAGCACUAUAAGCAAAUGAAAUAUUAAGCCAUGAAAAAUAAAGGAACCUUAAAUAUAUAUUGGUAAGUGAAAGGAGCAAUCUGUGUUCUUUUUUGUUGUUUGUUUGCAGGGAUUGAACUCAUGACCUCACACUUGCCAGGCAGGCACUUAUGCCACUGAGCUUAAUCCCCAGCCCAAAAGGAUUAGUCUGAAAAGGCUAAGUACUGUAUGGUUCCAACUACUUUACAUGAAAUUCUGGGUGAGCAAAGUUAUAGAAGCAUGGGAGUGCAAGUGGUUGCUAUCAAUUGGGCUUAAUAAGUGAAUAAAAAGAACUCAGGAUUUAUAGGGCAGUACAAAUAUCAUGUAUGAUAGUGCAGUGAUUACAGUGCAUUAUGUUGGUCCACAUCCUUAGAUAAUAAGGAGCAAAUCCCAAUGAAAUUGGGGCCUUUGAGUAAUGACAUUGCAUUCUCCAGGGGACCUCAUUUACAAUAGAUCAGUCACUCUGCUGGAGCUACUUAAUGUUUGUCAACAAACUUAAGGUGGUUUGAUAUUCCAAAUUAAUGAGGCUUCUAGAAUUUACUUUAAGCUAUUCUAUUGUCAUGACAAACCUGUUUAAAUACAUUCUGUCCUCAGUAAUGGAAGAGAAAGGAGAUUAAACAGGGAGAAUGGAAUUGAAAUUAGUGAUAGCAAGUCUCUUGGGAGAUGUUGCUUCCGAAAUAAAAUAAAUUUUAUUGUAUUUUGCCACAGACAGAUGAUUUUUUUGUUCUUAGAGGAUUAUUAGUCUCUGUUGCUUAAAAUAAAGCUUUUCCCCUGAGUGUUUUCAGUUCUUUCCUUAGAAAAAAUAAAUUACUUUGUAAGAAUAUUCUCAUAGUAACAUUUCAAAUUGUUAAUUGGAAAUAAGAAAAUUGUGUAUGUAACUUUUUGUUUUUAACAAGCCACUGUGAUUACAUGGUUUGCAACUGGGUUCUGGUCUCCCUUACAUUUAGGAAAUUUGAACAAUGCUGGGCAGCUUGUUACAUAUUGUAUUUUUAUUUAGUGAAAUGUUUUUGUUCUGAGAUGAUCACAGAAAUAUAUAUAUACCACAGAAAGGCCCUGUGCACCUUUUACCCAGUUUCCACCUGCAGUAGCAUCCCACAGAAUAAUAUCCUGUAGUAUCACAGCCAGGAGUUUAGUACUGCGAUCAGAUGUCUCCAUUUUAUCCCUGCAUCAGGAUACAUCACCACCAGUGCCACAACCACCUGCCGUUACACUGUAUGUCUCUAUAAAGGGCAAGUUGUCGCCUGUCUCACUUUAUGCUUGGACCAUGACAGUCAGUAACUGCAUCUCCUGCAUUUCUGUAAUUUCAUGGUUUCAGAAAUGCCAUAUAAAUGGCACCAUUGUCUAUGUAACUCUAUGGGAUGUACUCUUUUUAUAUGUUUUCACACGAUAUAACUCACCUGUUGUAUAUCUAAAUAAUAUCAAUUGUCUGUUCAUUUUACGUGAUAUUUCAUGUUAUAGAUAUACCACAGAUGCUGUAAUCAUUACCCUUUGAAGACUACCUAAGCCCUCAGUUUAGACUAUGGUCAACUGCCAUGCACAGGGGUUUUAUGUGAUCACUUUCCUAAAAUAAAUGUCCAAAAUGCAAUAUCUUAGGUAUAUGAUGUCUCACAUAUAUGUGGCAUAUUUAAAAUAAAUAACUAAAUCUUGGAUAUAAUCCACAUGUCCACCACUAGAGGAAUGGAUAAAUAAAAUGUGGCAUUUAUAUGCAAUGGAUUAUACUACCCUGUCAUAAGGAAAAGUAAAAUUGAGAUAUUAUAGGAAAAUAAGAUAUAUAUAGGAAGACCAGAAUGUUAAGGGAAACGAAUCAGACCUAUGAGCUUAAAUGACAUAUAGUUUCUUUUAUACAAGAACAUCAAAGCACAAAUAAAGAACAAAAAAGAUGAAUAUAAGAAGUAUGGAGAAAGAUCUUUUGCAAAUGGGAAAGAGACCAAGAGGUGGAGGAAGAGGGAGGGAAGGAAGGAGAGAGAUGAAAAUAGAAUUCAGAUGUGUUCUGUGUAUGUAUCAGUUCCCCAUGAGGAAUGUAAUCAUUUUGUACUACUGCAGACAUGCACUGCACUGGUGAGAACAAAAAUUAACAACAACAACAACAACAACAAAAAAAAAUAGAGACAACAACCCUGGGCUUUAACUCACUGAUGUAUUUACUAAAUAAGUAUUGCAUGUUUUUAAGUAAAAGGUCUGUUAUCUCUUCUAUCAUAUUAGCUUCUUAGACUACAAGAAAAAGAUAAUCUCUCAGUGAACUUUGAAAAACAUUUUGGCCAUCAUCUAAUAAAAUUAAACACAGAUUUUAAAUCUCAACAUUUACUGCCCAAAGAAUUUACCUAAACAGAAUGAGUGUACCUGCUCAUGAAACGACACAUGCUGUAAUGUCUCUAGCCUCAGUUUUCAGACACCUAAGACAAAAACAAAACAUAAAACCCUUGAAAACUACUCAGAUUCCCAUUGAGUGUAAAUUCAAUAAAUAAUUUAUGUCCUGCCCAAGAAUGCAAAAUUACACACAAUGAGAAUCAAUGACAUUUAUUAUAAAUCAUUAAGGGUGUAUUUCCUAAAUGCAAUUUUGAAUGCAAGAAGCCAGACACAAAUAUAUACCCUCUAUAGGAUAUUUAUAUAAAAUACAAAAGCACAAAAGUAAAUUGUGUUAUUACAAAUUAUGAGAAUAUUAUUUCAUGUAAGAUACUGAGAGUACCAGAGAGGAUUUCCCUUUUAAUUUGUUGUGAUUCUCAUAAUUUUUCCAAGAGUAAUACCUGGUUGGUUUAUAUUAUUUUGUUUGUUUAUUGUUUCUUUGUUUGUUGUGGUUGUCGGGAUUGAACCUGGGAACUAAGUCCCUCUAACACUCAGCUACAAGCCAGGCCAAAAUGCAACAGAGGACAAUGAUGCAGUUUUGUGGAUCAGGAGGUGGGCGUAACCCAGCUGGAUCUUGCUCCUCUUUCUCUCUUUCAGGAGGAUGUAAUCAUCUCACCAUUUGGCUCUAAAGAUUCAUUCUAAGUUAGCACAUGUGAUUCUGGGCAGGACUCAGUUAAUUGAGAGUUAUUGGUCCUAGAAUGUCAAUUGUUUGCUGACUGCUGCUGGACGGCUAACUUCAGUUUCUUGCCUCCUGGAUUCCACCAACAAAACAUGCAGAAUCACAUCCAACAGAAGAGGGGGCUGUGGUAGCAAAAUGGAAGUCAUGAAUUUUGAGAUCUCAUCAAGAAAUUGACACUCUGAAAUUUUGCCAAUAGCUGUUGGAUACAAGCUAAUUACUCAAAGACAAGCGAUAGUUACCCAAAUAAUCAUCAAUCCUAGGUGGAGGUGGCUGUGAAGAAAGAGAGUGACAACAGAGCGAGUACACAUCCAUCUUCCAACCAAGAAGAAAACUAUCCCGUGCAUUAUGAUAUUCUAGCCACAGGACAAUUCAAGAUUCUGGAAAUGUUAGAUUCUUAAGAACUGUAAGAGUCUGCACAUGAGAAAGGGGUUAUGGAGGAAAGGGGACACAAAACAACUCAGAUGUACCAAGCACCAAAUAUGUGAAAGUAGUCAUUGAAUAUCACAAACAUGUACAGAAAUAAGUAAUUAAACAACCAUAAGAAAACAAGCAGUUUAAGCCACUGACUGUGUAUUUAGUCCCGGUUGCUUGGGCACACUAAUACAGAUGUUACAAACGCCAUAUUGCUGAUCUUGUCUUUGUUUAAUCAGUGCUGUUUUCUAUUACGGAUGCGGUUAGUUACGUGUGGUUUAGCGUGACUCUCUCCAGACUGCUAAUGCUUUAUUAAAUUGGUCUAAAAUACCCUACACUGAACAGACAGUUCGGUCUGGUUAGAAGGCCUGUUCCUUCGGGGGAUUCCUCUAAUUGUGGCCUUGAUUGCUGACUGGUUGGAACUCUUCUCUCCUAUACAAGUUUCAGGAAUUGCUGAGCUUGUAAAUCUCCUGACUGAUUUUACACAAACGAGUGGAAUUUCACCCCUGCCAUGUGCUGCAAAUGCAGGAGCCCGUGUGCAAACCUGGAUGUCUUUUUCUGCGUAGUUUCUUCUUCUUCAUCAUUUUUCUUCUCAAUAUCCAACCACUUGACAUCUCAAACUCUGACCCCUGUCUCUUCAUGUUAGGAAGUCUGCUGAAUUACGGUUGAAGUUUUCCCCAGUGACCCUCUGUAUGGAAAUUGCUGCUGAGUACACAGCUCUGGUAAUCACAACCCUCAUUUCACUAGUUUCCCUCCUUCUGGGCUCGUACUGCUGUGCUUCUCGGUGUGCAGUUUCCAAAACAGUGAUUUUAUCCAUGUUGUGCUCUUUGGUAUUUGUUAAGGUUGGAAGUUCAUACCCCUCUGCAGAUCUGGAGCAUUAGACUGAGCAUCAUUAGCGUGUAUCAUUAUGCUACAUGCAUGUCUGGUAGACAUCUCCCCAUAUGCCAGGCUUUGCUUUUUUUUUGUUUAAAGUAGCCAGAAAAAAAAGUCUUUCACAGGAAACUUCAAGGAAAUGAAGUGGCAGGGUAUGAGCACUUCAUCCACCCAAAGGCGGAGGUUUGGGAUUACAAGAGGUGUGAGGGCCUCUGCUCUCAGCACCCCACGUGGCAGAGGGGUGCACAGUGAGCCUGCUGAGGACUGAAGAAGAGGAGGCUGCAGAAAGCGAGGUGAGAUCUGAGGACCCAGAACUCGGUUCUUGCUCCUGUAAGCUGAGCACUCAAUGCAGGCUUGAGUGGAGCCUCACAUGUUCUGACUUAUAUUUCUAAAAGAACCACUCAGGCAGACUCUGUAAACAUAAAAGGUGGAAAAUAAUGUUAUUAUUGAUAAAUUAAAAUGUUCUCAAUGUGCAACAUACUUGCUAUUUGACAAGCAAUAGUCUAAGUACUUUACGUUGUCUAUUAAUUCAUAUACUAUGUAAUUUAAUCAUAUAAGUCAUACAAUUAUAUAUUCCUAAUUAAAUUAUAAUGUGCAAGCAUUGCCCCUAUUUUAAAGGUGAGGAGAGAUAUAAGGAGACUUUAAAAUUUCUUUAAGGUUUCACACAAGAAGUAAGUAACAGGCAACAUGCUCAUAAGCCCUGCUGUUUCAUAUGAAACUUGGUCCUCUACUUUCAGUACAUUAAAGAGUAACGAAGCUGUAAAGAACCAAAAACAAAAGGUAGUCUUUUUGCUUUGUGCCCCUUGUAACCACUAAUUUUAUUUUAUUUCUUUCUGGACUAGAAUAAGCCAUAAACUAAAGAGGUGUAAUAAUUUCUGAAAGUGGCUUACAAAAUUAUAUAGAAACUUUAAAAUUCCAAGAGAACUGGAGAUAAGAAUGAUUUUAUAACAAGGAGUUGAAUUAGAACAAUAUGAAAUUAUGAAUCAAUCGCUACUGCUACUAUUUUAAAAAUGUAUCUUAUAUUUUAAUAAAAACUUCAGAAAACAUGACAAUUAAAAGAAAAAUAUUUCUCUUGAAAAAUGCUAUAACUCUUAGAAUGCAUUGAGGCCAAGAAUACCUGAGUGAGUUUAUUGCCUUUGGAAUUCAAUAUUGUUAUCAUUUUAUUCCAUUUCUGUGAAAAGACAAUUUUGUAUUGAAAGAUAUGUCAUGGCUCUCAGAAUCAGAAAGCCAUUUUUAUUCCUUUAAAAACUCUAUAGUGGAAUCAAUGAUCUAGUUUGUAUUUACAAGUAGGUAACCAAAAA